CAUCUGUUUAACACGAUAAUAUAAAAUUAUAUAUUUAUCACUCAAGGUUAUAAACAAUCACCACGACGAUUGUCAUUGAUAGUUAAGAUCAUUUAAAAAUGACGAAUGAUGAUUGCGAUCGUAUAAUUAGCUUUCAAGGCCAUAAGAUUCAAAAGCCAUAAGAUCAUCGAGAUCGUAAUUGGUAUCCAAAGUCAUUCGAAAAUCAUAGGCAUCAUCGUGACAUUAAGAUUUAUAAUCAUUUGAGAAAUUAUGAUGUAUGUGUUUUUUAAUAUUCAUGGCCAUCUUGACUAUCAAAACUAUUCAAAGGUUAUGCGAGCUAUCGAAAACGUGUUCAUUAACGAUCUUAUGUGUAUUACAAUAAAUAUCAUCGAAAAUAGUCAUCAAAGUUGUGUUAUUACGCGUUAAAAUAUUUAAUGGGAUAUACGAAUAUUAAAAAUAAUCAUCAAACUCGUAUCGCUAAUAGUCGAAGUAAGAACAAUUUUGUCAAUUGUCAUCGAAAUUUUCUAAAACACGUAUGAAUAACGAUGCGUUAUCGAUGGAUGAUGGUUGAUUAAUAAUUUUGAACAGCAACGAAUUUGAGAGACUCUGGUUUGAGAGUUGUUGGAGAAAUUGCUCAAAGAUGAUGUUGCAAAAAAAUACGUGUAUCGUCACACGUUUGUGCGUAUGUAUAUAUACAAUAAGAGGUGGAGGAUAUGAUAAGAAAUUAUCAUUCGGAGGCACGAACGACGAGCCCACACAAUUAUUCAGAUUUCUUUAUCAUCCCUUAAUUCACGCUUGUCACAAACACCGACACGCAUGAGAAAUUUUUAAAUAUACGAAGAAUAAAAUAAUAAUAUGCGAAUACAGUAAAGUGAUUACAUUAUAUUAUUCAAAUGAAAAACACGGGUGUAUAUGUAUGAUAUAUGCUUCGUUUACUUCGUAUUAUUAUAUACAUUUAUGAAUACAUUACGUGUGUAACUUGCGCGCAUUAUAUUUAAUUUUUCGUUAUAAAUUAUUAAUGCAUUUAGUCGUAAUCUCACUUUGUUAUUUAUUAUAUUUAUAAUUAAUUUCGAUACAAGGUUACGCGAUAAUUGGACUUAUACGUGAUAGAAUAAUAUUUUAUUUCGAUAUGAAAAUUCAUUCGUUCGAACAAUAAUGGAUCGUUUUAAAUCUUAUUUAAUUUUGCGAUUACGAGGAUUCGUCGUCAGUGUCACGUGGUCGUUCGAAUUUAUAGGAAAUGUAUUUGCAUAAAAUGUAGGUAUAGGAGCGUAAAAAUCGAGUUGAAAAGCAGAUCGAGGCCGAGUUAUAGACGUUGGUGGCGGUGGCGGUGGCGGUUGCGGCCGUGGGCAUCGUUUUUGCGCGGGAAAGGUAUUUUCGUUCGGCGGAUCCGCUUUGUUGGUCCGCGCGUUAAAAUAUCUUUGUACGUUAGAAAGUGUUUGCGGCCGGGAGAUAUUUUAGGAGGCGAAAACGUUUCCACGGUGAGGUGAGGUCAACGGUGUCGCAGCGUAAAGAAGGAAACUACGAGUGAUAAAAAGGUCGUAAUGCAUGUUAAGUGCGGAAUUUCUGAUACGAUAAUAAACAUCCGACAACGAAAUUCACAAUCGUUCUCUGUGUGUACACCGCUUGACGGAUGCGAUGUAAAGUGAAAAUAAUUACCGGCUACGGAUUGAAAAUAAAAUACGGAGAUGAAAUAAAAGCAUUCGCGUUUCUCCGUUUCUCCGCAAACUAUCGAUGUACCUAGUAACGAAAGAACAAAACUUGUUCUUAUUCAUAGGCGAUAAGAAUGAUUACGCGCAAAUGACAGCAGACUCAUUGAUGUACAGUCUGUGUAUAUGAAAAUAAAAAAAAAAAGUACUGGUAAUAAAGCAGAGUGGAGAAAUCAGUGGAAAUAGUAAAUAAUCGACCAGAUGUGAAGAACGUUGUCGAGAGGCUCGCAGAUGAAUAAACGCGAACAACACGUGGACUGAAAACGAGAUCCGUGAUAAAUGGAAAUGCUAGGAUAGAAUUCAAGGAUAAUGCUAUAAAUCUCACUUUCUUAAUUUUUUCGCAACUUUGCGUUUCUUUCUCGUUAUUUACUUAUUAUCGAGAGAGAAAAGUACAAGUAAAUUGUAAGGAACGCAUUCGAUUUCUUUAUCUUGGAAUAUGUGAAAAUCUUGUACACAGCUGUCCUCGACCGAGUCUUCGAAAUGAUCGAAAACAAGCCGACGAGCACAGAUGUGCGAUCGCAAACUGAAAUGCACGUGGAAAAAUAAAGUAUGACUCAUACUCGAUAUUCAAACGUGGAUCGUGCAAAACGAAUAAUGCCACGUACGAAAACUUUUAUCACGUUCAGAUUUCAACCAAAUACUUUGUAAAUAAUCACUUGCGUCAAUCUGCUCGAGAUUUUAGAUUGUAUACUAUUAGCGUGGUAAAUCAAAAAGAUAUUCUUGUUGUGGAAGAUAAAUGUAAAGCUAACUUUAUACGAGAUAAAAAAAGAAGAUACAAAAAGAAGAUAAAUCCAUUUAUAACAACUUUAAGCAAAUUUUUGUUUUAACGCAUCACUUGACGUAUAUUGAGUCUUAUAAUUCGAAAAAGUGUCAAAAGUUUGGAUCUUUUUCUUGCAAGCUUUUUACAUAAUAUUGUUAUGUCCAUAUUACAUCAUUAAAAAAAAAUAGAGAAAAACAGUAAUAAUAGUAAUAAAUUGCAAAUAAUAAAUUACUCGAUUCAAGCUUAUUCUAGUACACCGCAAAAAUUAUUAUAUUUCAUUUUCGUAUUAAAAUUUUUUUUUAUCUAAUAUAUUUUUACUUAAUAUGAUUAAACAUGUCGAGAAAAAAUCAAAAUUAUCGAAAUGA
Apis cerana (Asiatic honeybee) is the source of this 2810-nucleotide long non-coding RNA. RefSeq lists it as uncharacterized. NCBI's taxonomy places the organism in Eukaryota, Metazoa, Arthropoda, Insecta, Hymenoptera, Apidae. The record is from RefSeq and is a predicted model, not a curated record.